This 253-nucleotide ribosomal RNA is filed under the name uncultured bacterium. Its description in RNAcentral is "partial 16S ribosomal RNA". It matches the Rfam family "Bacterial small subunit ribosomal RNA", at positions 524 to 776 of the family's 1533-position model. The record is from RNAcentral.
UACGUAGGGUGCAAGCGUUAAUCGGAAUUACUGGGCGUAAAGCGUGCGCAGGCGGCUUUGCAAGACAGAUGUGAAAUCUCCGGGCUUAACCUGGGAACUGCAUUUGUGACUGCAUGGCUAGAGUGCGGCAGAGGGGGAUGGAAUUCCGCGUGUAGCAGUGAAAUGCGUAGAUAUGCGGAGGAACACCGAUGGCGAAGGCAAUCCCCUGGGCCUGCACUGACGCUCAUGCACGAAAGCGUGGGGAGCAAAAGGG